Molecule: ribosomal RNA, 424 nt
Filed under: uncultured bacterium
Lineage: Bacteria
Description: bacterial SSU rRNA
Rfam family: Bacterial small subunit ribosomal RNA
Source: RNAcentral
UGGGGAAUAUUGGACAAUGGGCGCAAGCCUGAUCCAGCCAUGCCGCGUGGGUGAUGAAGGCCUUAGGGUUGUAAAGCCCUUUCGGCGGGGAAGAUAAUGACGGUACCCGCAGAAGAAGCCCCGGCUAACUUCGUGCCAGCAGCCGCGGUAAUACGAAGGGGGCUAGCGUUGCUCGGAAUCACUGGGCGUAAAGCGCACGUAGGCGGGUCGUUAAGUCAGGGGUGAAAUCCUGGAGCUCAACUCCAGAACUGCCUUUGAUACUGGCGAUCUCGAGUUCGGGAGAGGUGAGUGGAACUGCGAGUGUAGAGGUGAAAUUCGUAGAUAUUCGCAAGAACACCAGUGGCGAAGGCGGCUCACUGGCCCGAUACUGACGCUGAGGUGCGAAAGCGUGGGGAGCAAACAGGAUUAGAUACCCCCGUAGUCC